RNAcentral lists this ribosomal RNA (451 nucleotides) under uncultured bacterium. RNAcentral describes it as "bacterial SSU rRNA". It matches the Rfam family "Bacterial small subunit ribosomal RNA", at positions 354 to 796 of the family's 1533-position model. The record is from RNAcentral.
GUGGGGAAUUGUUCGCAAUGGGCGCAAGCCUGACGACGCAACGCCGCGUGGAGGAUGAAGACUUUCGGGUCGUAAACUCCUUUCGACCGAGAUGAAUGUCCCUCGACCCAACACGUCGAGGGAGUGACAGUAUCGAGGGAAGAAGCCCCGGCUAACUCUGUGCCAGCAGCCGCGGUAAUACAGGGGGGGCAAGCGUUGUUCGGAAUUACUGGGCGUAAAGGGUUCGUAGGUGGCCAACUAAGUCAGACGUGAAAUCCCUCAGCUUAACUGGGGAACUGCGUCUGAUACUGGUUGGCUUGAGUGCAGGAGAGGAACGCGGAAUUCCAGGUGUAGCGGUGAAAUGCGUAGAUAUCUGGAGGAACACCGGUGGCGAAGGCGGCGUUCUGGACUGCAACUGACACUGAGGAACGAAAGCCAGGGGAGCAAACGGGAUUAGAAACCCCAGUAGUCC